AGUCUCAGUUCGGAUUGGAGUCUGCAACCCGACUCCAUGAAGCUGGAUUCGCUAGUAAUCGCAGAUCAGAAUGCUGCGGUGAAUACGUUCCCGGGUCUUGUACACACCGCCCGUCACACCAUGGGAGUCGGAAAUGCCCGAAGCCGGUGACCCAACCAAAAGGAGGGAGCCGUCGAAGGCAGGUCUGAUAACUGGGGUGAAGUCGUAACAAGGUAUC
RNAcentral lists this ribosomal RNA (217 nucleotides) under uncultured bacterium. RNAcentral describes it as "partial 16S ribosomal RNA". It matches the Rfam family "Bacterial small subunit ribosomal RNA", at positions 1284 to 1500 of the family's 1533-position model. The record is from RNAcentral.